RNAcentral lists this ribosomal RNA (255 nucleotides) under uncultured bacterium. RNAcentral describes it as "partial 16S ribosomal RNA". It matches the Rfam family "Bacterial small subunit ribosomal RNA", at positions 524 to 777 of the family's 1533-position model. The record is from RNAcentral.
GACAGAGGGUGCAAACGUUGUUCGGAAUUACUGGGCGUAAAGCGAGUGUAGGCGGUUUCCUAAGUCAGGUGUGAAAGCCCCGGGCUCAACCCGGGAAGUGCACUUGAAACUGGGAGGCUAGAGUAUCGGAGAGGUUGGUGGAAUUCUCGGUGUAGGAGGUGAAAAUUCGUAGAUAUUGGGAAGAACACCGGUGGCGAAGGCGGCUCACUGGCCCGUAACUGACGCUCAUGCACGACAGCGUGGGAUCAAACAGGG